This 753-nucleotide ribosomal RNA is filed under the name Fictibacillus arsenicus. RNAcentral's name for it is "bacterial LSU rRNA". It matches the Rfam family "Bacterial large subunit ribosomal RNA", at positions 1 to 711 of the family's 2925-position model. Lineage: Bacteria; Bacillati; Bacillota; Bacilli; Caryophanales; Fictibacillaceae. The record is from RNAcentral.
GUGAAAGUUUCCAAGGGCGCAUGGUGGAUGCCUUGGCAACAGGAGCCGAAGAAGGACGUGGGAAUCUGCGAUAAGCCUGGUGGAGUCGAUAACCGGACGUUGAGACCAGGAUUUCCGAAUGGGGAAACCCCGCACGACGUGUCGUGUGACCCCCGGUUGAACACAUAGACCGGGUGGAGGGAACGUGGGGAAGUGAAACAUCUCAGUACCCACAGGAAGAGAAAACAAAAGUGAUUCCGUUAGUAGUGGCGAGCGAACGCGGAUGGGGCUAAACCGUAUGUGUGUGAUACCCGGCAGGGGUUGCAUGUGCGGUGUUGUGGGCCCCUCCUUGUCAUGUCUGCCGGCAUGGCGCAGUGAGGUGCGGGCAUAUAGACGAACCAGUGUGGAUGCUGGACCGUAGAGGGUGAGAGUCCCGUAGUCGAAAUGUGUUCCGCCGCUGUUGGAGGGUUGCCCGAGUAGCACGGGGCCCGAGGAAUCCCGUGUGAAUCUGCCAGGACCACCUGGUAAGCCUGAAUACUACCUGUUGACCGAUAGCGGAUCAGUACCGUGAGGGAAUGGUGAAAAGUACCCCGGGAGGGGAGUGAAAUAGUACCUGAAACCAUGUGCCUACAAACCGUUGGAGCCUCCUUGUGGGGUGACAGCGUGCCUUUUGAAGAAUGAGCCUGCGAGUUAGUGAUACGUGGCGAGGUUAACCCGUGUGGGGAAGCCGUAGCGAAAGCGAGUCUGAAUAGGGCGAUUGAGUCGCGUGUCCUA